Molecule: long non-coding RNA, 897 nt
Organism: Bufo bufo (common toad)
Lineage: Eukaryota; Metazoa; Chordata; Amphibia; Anura; Bufonidae
Exons: 2
Source: RefSeq, a predicted model, not a curated record
GAGAUGGACAGGUAGCGGAGGAGAUAUGAGGAGAUGGACAGGUAGCGGAGGAGAUAUGAGGAGAUGGACAGGUAGCGGAGGAGAUAUGAGGAGAUGGACAGGUAGCGGAGGAGAUAUUUGGUCCUACUUGACCUACCUUUCCAUUUUUCUGCCGUGUGAUGAAGAGGAUAUGGUAGUCACCAAGGAUUUUCUUUUCCUCAAAAAUUAGCUACUCUGGUGGAUCCAGGAGUCUAGAAUAGAUAUUUUCUCAGGUUUAGUGGUGUUCUCAGGCCUGAGAACACAAAUUAAAGGGCAAUUAUACCCUCAUCAUUGUAUUUAUACAGAGAUGUAAUCAGCAUUUAUGUAUAGCUGAGGGAUCGGGCCCAUUUAUUUAUUUAUUUAUUUAUCUAUUUAUUAGUUACCCCUAAAAUCCUCUUUCCUGGUCCUCCAAUGCAGCAUGGCACUAUAGUCUUGUAACCAGGGUGGGGCUUGCACCCAGGAGAGGUCUCCUAUCAUCUCUAUAAUGAUAGCUAUUAUCCAUAAUGCACACAGGCUUUUAAGAGUGAGCUAUCCCUUUUAAGAUCCAGGGAAUCCAGUACAGUAUGGGCCUGGUAACUUAAAUAUCCCCAGUAAAUGAAGAUACCAAAAAAAAUCCUGGGUGACAACCAAUGACCUCCAUUACAUUGCCAGCUCUCCCAGACUCCUGAAUGCCAGUUCCACCUAAUUACACAGUAAAAUAUCUUUCAAUAACAUAUUAACAAGCGGAUUUGCCAUGGCGGACUAUACGAACGCUGGUAACUAUUCACCGGGUGUUACUGUAAGUUUUUUUUAUACUUUGGGUGGAAAUGGCCUUUAAGUUAACAACAUGCAUGUUUAAUAUCCUAUUCUUUCUCAUCUGCUCUGUCCUUACACUAGUAU